AGUGAGCGCUGGCGGUAGGCCUAACACAUGCAAGUCGAACGGCAGCACAGGAGAGCUUGCUCUCUGGGUGGCGAGUGGCGGACGGGUGAGGAAUACAUCGGAAUCUACUCUGUCGUGGGGGAUAACGUAGGGAAACUUACGCUAAUACCGCAUACGACCUACGGGUGAAAGCAGGGGACCUUCGGGCCUUGCGCGAUUGAAUGAGCCGAUGUCGGAUUAGCUAGUUGGCGGGGUAAAGGCCCACCAAGGCGACGAUCCGUAGCUGGUCUGAGAGGAUGAUCAGCCAGACUGGAACUGAGACACGGUCCAGAGUCCUACGGGGGGCAGCAGUGGGGAAUAUUGGACAAUGGGCGCAAGCCUGAUCCAGCCAUACCGGGUGGGUGAAGAAGGCCUUCGGGUUGUAAAGCCCUUUUGUUGGGAAAGAAAUCCAGCUGGCUAAUACCCGGUUGGGAUGACGGUACCCAAAGAAUAAGCACCGGCUAACUUCGUGCCAGCCGCCGCCGUAA
RNAcentral lists this ribosomal RNA (506 nucleotides) under uncultured bacterium. RNAcentral describes it as "partial 16S ribosomal RNA". It matches the Rfam family "Bacterial small subunit ribosomal RNA", at positions 29 to 523 of the family's 1533-position model. The record is from RNAcentral.